CACAUGCAAGUCGAACGCGAAAGUCCCGCAAGGGAUUAGUAGAGUGGCAAACGGGUGAGUAACACGUGGGUGACCUGCCUUCGAGUGGGGGAUAACAUCCCGAAAGGGAUGCUAAUACCGCAUGACAUCCUGCCUUUUAAGAGGCGGAGAUCAAAGCUGGGGACCGCAAGGCCUGGCGCUUGAAGAGGGGCCCGCGUCUGAUUAGCUAGUUGGUGGGGUAAUGGCUCACCAAGGCAUCGAUCAGUAUCCGGCCUGAGAGGGCGGACGGACACACUGGGACUGAGACACGGCCCAGACUCCUACGGGAGGCAGCAGUGGGGAAUUGUUCGCAAUGGGUGCAAGCCUGACGACGCAACGCCGCGUGGAGGAUGAAAACCUUCGGGUCGUAAACUCCUUUCGAUCGAGACGAAUGGUCCUGGGGUUAAUAGCCUCGGGAAAUGACGGUACCGAGAGAAGAAGCCCCGGCUAACUCCGUGCCAGCAGCCGCGGUAAUACGGGGGGGGCAAGCGUUGUUCGGAAUUACUGGGCGUAAAGGGCUCGUAGGUGGCCAACUAAGUCAGACGUGAAAUCCCUCGGCUUAACCGGGGAACUGCGUCUGAUACUGGAUGGCUUGAGUUCGGGAGAGGGAUGCGGAAUUCCA
RNAcentral lists this ribosomal RNA (640 nucleotides) under metal-contaminated soil clone K20-94. RNAcentral's name for it is "bacterial SSU rRNA". It matches the Rfam family "Bacterial small subunit ribosomal RNA", at positions 52 to 671 of the family's 1533-position model. The record is from RNAcentral. Lineage: Bacteria; Pseudomonadati; Acidobacteriota.